RNAcentral lists this ribosomal RNA (497 nucleotides) under uncultured bacterium. RNAcentral describes it as "partial 16S ribosomal RNA". It matches the Rfam family "Bacterial small subunit ribosomal RNA", at positions 28 to 507 of the family's 1533-position model. The record is from RNAcentral.
GAUGAACGCUGGCGGCGUGCCUAAUACAUGCAAGUCGAGCGAACAGACGAGGAGCUUGCUCCUCUGACGUUAGCGGCGGACGGGUGAGUAACACGUGGAUAACCUACCUAUAAGACUGGGAUAACUUCGGGACACCGGCGCUAAUACCGGAUAAUAUAUUGAACCGCAUGGUUCAAUAGUGAAAGACGGUUUUGCUGUCACGUAUAGAUGGAUCCGCGCCGCAUUGGCUAGUUGGUAGGGUAACGGCCUACCAGGGCAACGAUGCGUAGCCGACCUGACAGGGUGGUAGGCCGCCCUGGAGGUGGGCCGCGGACCAGGCUCCUGCGGGAGGCAGCAGUCGGGAAUCUUCGGCAGUGGGGGGAAGCCUGACGGAGCAGCGCCGCGUGAGAGAUGGAGGUCUUCGGAGCGUAAAAAUCGGUUAUUAGGGAAGAACCGAUGUGGAAGGAACUAUGCACGUCGUGACGGUACCUAGUCAGAAAGCCACGGCUAACUACGUG